UCGUGGGCUCGGAGAUGUGUAUAAGAGACAGACUUUGAAGAGAGAGUUCAAUAGUACGUGAAACUGUGUGGUGGUAAACGGAGGGGUUCUCGAAGUUUCUGCGUGGAACUCAACCUUGGUGUCGGGCGGUCCUGGUGUAUCUGAUCAGCAAUGACUGUGCGCUUGGUUCGGCUUGGCUCCCGGGUGCAUUUUCCAAGCAGUUUACGGCAGGAACCGUUUGGCUCGGACCGAAGGCCUCGGGCGAAGUUGUAGGUAUUUUGCUUGCAGCCCCGGGUGUCCUGGCUCUGCGCUCGACGGGUACGUGAGAGGACUCGUAUAGCGAGCAACGCUCUGUUGCGGUUCUCAUCUCUCUGCCGAGUAGGUCGGCGGCCCCUCCGACCCGUCUUGAAACACGGACCAAGGAGUCUAACAUGUAUGCGAGCCAUUGGGUUGACUAAACCUAGAGGCGCAGUGAAAGCAAAGAGUAGCUUGUCUGCUCGAGGGACGAUCCGCAAGGCGCAGUCCCGUGACAUCCAAUCAACCUCGCAUUGUUGGGUGUACACAGAGUAUAAAUGUUGGGACCCGAAAGAUGGUGAACUAUGCCUGGCCAGGUUGAAGUCAGGGGAAACCCUGAUGGAGGACCGUAGCGAUUCUGACGUGCAAAUCGAUCGUCGGAGCUGGGUAUAGGGGCGAAAGACUAAUCGAACCAUCUAGUAGCUGGUUCCUUCCGAAGUUUCCCUCAGGAUAGCUGGUGCUCGUAAACGAGUUUCAUCCGGUAAAGCGAAUGAUUAGAAGCAUUGGGGGCGAAACGCCCUCAACUUAUUCUCAAACUUUAAAUGGGUGAGAAGUCCGUCUUGCUUGAGUGAAGUCGGACACUGAAUCGGAGUGCCAAGUGGGCCAUUUUUGGUAAGCAGAACUGGCGCUGUGGGAUGAACCAAACGCGGGGUUAAAGUGCCAAAGUAGAAGCUCAUCAGAUCCCACGAAAGGUGUUGGUUGCUUAAGACAGCAGGACGGUGGCCAUGGAAGUCGGAAUCCGCUAAGGAGUGUGUAACAACUCACCUGCCGAAGCAACUAGCCCUGAAAAUGGAUGGCGCUAAAGCUUCUCACUUAUACCCUGCCGUUUAGUCAGAGCUGGCCCUUGAGGCCCUGACGACUGAACGAGUAGGCAGGUCGCAUCGGUGGCGCGGAAGGCUCUGGGUGUGAACCUGGCUGGAGCCGCCGGUGGUGCAGAUCUUGGUGGUAGUAGCAAAUACUCCAGAGAGGCCCUGGAGGACCGAUGUGGAGAAGGGUUUCGUGUGAACAGCCGUUGGACACGAGUCAGUCGAUCCUAAGGCUUAGGGGAAGCCUUAUUUAAUAGAGCGGUGUUUUCUUUCUGAAGCAGACCGCAUCUACAGCCGAAAGGGAAUGAGGUACUUAUUCCUCAACCUGAUAGCGGAACCGAUCCGGGCCCUCGUACCCGACGCGGCAACGCGAAUUGAGCCUGAGACGUCUGCCCUAGCUCUGGGAAGAGUUGUCUUUUCUGCAUAAGCCGCCGAGGCCCUGGAAUUCCUUCGAGGAGAGAAUGGGUUUUGGUCUAGGCAAAGAGUCCAGCAGUUCUCGCUGGAUCCAUGAGUGCAGGGUGGAACCUUGAAAAUCAGGCUGAGGGUUACGGCGGAGUCGCGUCAGCUCGUACCCAUAUCCGCAGCAGGUCUCCUAGGUGAACAGCCUCUGGUCGAUAGAAUAAUGUAGGUAAGGGAAGUCGGCAAAUUGGAUCCGUAACUUCGGGAUAAGGAUUGGCUCUGAGGGCCGGGGUGCUUGGGCUUUGUGGUGGAAGCGGGUUGGCCUACCGGCAGGUCUGGCCGAGCCCUCGGGUGAAGUCGGCCCUGUUUCACAGGCUCCCGUGGAUACCCAUUGCUUUGCGGGCCUGGCGCAAGCCAGUGUCCCGUUCAAGCAUCGAUCAACGGCUAACUCAGAACUGGCACGGACUAGGGGAAUCCGACUGUCUAAUUAAAACAAAGCAUUGCGAUGGUCAGAGAUUGAUGUUGACGCAAUGUGAUUUCUGCCCAGUGCUCUGAAUGUCAAAGUGAAGAGGUUCGUCCAAGCGCGGGUAAACGGCGGGAGUAACUAUGACUCUCUUAAGGUAGCCAAAUGCCUCGUCAUCUAAUUAGUGACGCGCAUGAAUGGAUUAACGAGAUUCCCACUGUCCCUAUCUACUAUCUAGCGAAACCGCAGCCAAGGGAACGGACUUGGGAAGAUCAGCGGGGAAAGAAGACCCUGUUGAGCUUGACUCUAGUCUCCUUUUGUAGAGGAGCAUCUCUGGCGUAGAAUAGGGAGGAGGCUUCGGCCGACAGUGAAAUACUCCUACGGGGAUCGCUCCUCUGCUUACUCGGUUAGGCGAAGUUAGGACCUUCGGGGCCUAUUUCUUGAAUCAAACGGGUGGGCUCUGCCCGCCCGUGAUUCGCUCCGAGGACAUUGUGAGGCGGGGAGUUUGACUGGGGCGGUACAUCUGUCAAAUGAUAACGCAGGUGUCCUAAGGCCAGCUCAGUGAGGACGGAAACCUCACGUUGACCAAAAGGGGAAAAGCUGGCUUGACCUUUCCCUUCAGUACGGGGCAAGGAGCAGAAAUGUCGGCCUAUCGAUCCUCUUUAUUUCGGAGUUUGAAGAAAGAGGUGUCAGAAAAGUUACCACAGGGAUAACUGGCUUGUGGCUGCCAAGCGUUCAUAGCGACGUAGCUUUUUGAUCCUUCGAUGUCGGCUCUUCCUAUCACUGCCUCGCAGCG
Molecule: ribosomal RNA, 2737 nt
Filed under: seawater metagenome
Description: eukaryotic LSU rRNA
Rfam family: Eukaryotic large subunit ribosomal RNA
Source: RNAcentral